Epinephelus moara (kelp grouper) is the source of this 6005-nucleotide long non-coding RNA. RefSeq lists it as uncharacterized. Lineage: Eukaryota; Metazoa; Chordata; Actinopteri; Perciformes; Serranidae. The transcript has 2 exons. The record is from RefSeq and is a predicted model, not a curated record.
CAUCCUGUCUACUCACUUGUGUACACAGUGUACCCUUUCACUGACCUAAUAAACAGUCCUAUUUAAUUUUCCAUACUGCCAUUGAAAAAAAAGGAAUAAAACGCUCUGGGCAGGACAUCUGGUAGCUGCGUCAAAAGGAGGUCGUUUACGGUAAAAACGUCGCCCAUUACCAUGUGAUUUCACCGAUGUUUGUAAACAUGCGUCAGCCACAUGUGAUUCUGGCGAUGAGGAAAGACUCUCCAGCCGCCUGGCCAACCAGCGGCCGGGGGAGUGUCAGGGGCGGGGUUCCCGUGUUGCGCUAUGGAAAAUCAUUAGGGGGAUACACAGUGAUAAACGUGCGCUCCCAGAUUGAUAAUAACGACAAAAAGGCUGAAACGGGAACUUGAUGUACGGACCAUUCACUGAGGACCGGAUCUGAGUCACGCCGGUCGGGAAAACAUCUGAGACCGCCUCAGCACCGGAGAGAAACAUGCCUGGGAUAAACACACCCUGUAAUGCACACCUGCCACAGCACAAUAGGACGCCGCCACGCCUGAUGUGAUGACACUGUUGCUGUUGACACCAAGGUCGCUGGCCUCUUGUACCUUCCUAAUGAUCCUAGCGAAGGAAGGCCUCCUGCUGCUUAACCUGCCAGAGGGACGGGAGAUAAAGUGCGUCCUCGCCUCUCCCAGCUUCUGAGGUGAAAAUGAGACACACAGGAGGAGCGAGCUCCUUCCUGCCAAGUGGAUUUGUUCGGUCAAUGGGUGAAUCAGCAGCAGACCUCAUGAGUUGCUAAACCACUGGCAAGGAAAUGGAAAGAGAGAGCGACAGAGAGAGAGGAGAGAAGGGGAGGGGAGGGAGAGGGGAGCUUUAGAACUUUAAUUAUGUGUACUGAAUAGAAACUUGACUCCCGAGGGAAUGUCACUAUGGUAGUUUUGAAACAAACAGGUAAAGGUCAUGGGAGGAAGUACGGGCCGAUCACUGAGAGAGCAUAACUUCCCUAUUUGCAUCAUUCUGUAAAAUUUGAAACGCAAACAUCGACCUCGUAUCAGAUGUUUCUCAGGAUAUUUUUGUGACGGACUGAAUAUCGUGUCCUGUGCGGUCGUGAUGUUUACCAUGCCUUCUGAGGCUGACCGGCAGAACAAGUGACCCACUUUCACAGACAAGAAAACGUGACCUCAAUAGUUAUUUUGCCAUUCUUUCAGGGAGGGGCGCUGCCUCUCAAGUCAAACAAACACAAGAGCCCAGCACAAGUGGGCUAAAUGCGAUGUGUUCAACCUAGUUUUAUUCAGAGUUCCUGGAGACAUUUCACAAUGACGCUGUUAUUGAGUACUAAAAAAAAACAUCCCUGCUUUUUCAGCUCAGGCAAAUGCAAUUCAGCAGAUGCCGGCGGGGCCAAAACUAGACGCAGCAAACAGCCACUUUUAAACCCCGAGGGGUGGCGGUAUGAAUCUACUGAUAGAUGUGUUUACAGCAGGGGGCCAGCGUCACCUGUAGCCCACAUAAAACUUCAGAGAAAACGCUGAGCGACCCACAGCCUUUUAAAAUAAAUCCCUCCCACACACAGAUUAUGGAAUAGGCGGUGGCACGGAGCCAAGAGAUGACAGUGCUAAAAUUAAACCCGGAGCACUGCCGGCCUCGCUAGAUGAUGAUGCAUUAAUAGACAAGUGUGAGGCAGCAUUCAUUUGCAGGUAUCAUUAGCAGCUAACGUGCUGCAAAAUGAGGGGAAAAAACUGCUGUGCUGAAACCCAGGAGGCACCUCUCCUUACUGCUAUUAUUAAUAGCCCUUAUUUUUCUCCGUGCAGACGUACGGAGCGAGCUCUGUAAAUAUUUCUUUAAGAUAUACAGUGCAUUGGACGGGUGAAAUAGUGAGAUAGCUGUAGUGUUUUUGUCCAGAACGACUGCUAAUCAAUAAGAAACACCGGCCAGGUUUUUCUCUGUCUUCCAGGAAACCCGAUCCGCUUCGACCAGACAACCUGCAGGCGCAUUUUGAAUCUUUAUGUUCGCUUUUAUCUCGAGUUAUUUAACCCAUAAAGCCACUCUUGUUAUCAGCCAGACAUCUGAUAUUUCCCAACAGGCUGAGUGGGAGCCAGAAGAGGGUGACAAAGUGUAAAUCAACUCUUCCAUCUGCGGCCUUCCCGUCUAUUUCCACCCAUCGUGCAGCGGAUAGAACAAACAACGUGUCAGGCUCAUCUGAACGUGUUAGGGCUCUCGAGCCUCCACACAUUUCGCAAUUUGUUGCUCCGAAGAGGAGAUGAUGCAAUGGAGGAGAUUUUUCGAGCUAUUACACGAUCCAAACACAAUUGGUACAUUUAGGACAUUGUUUGUGCUGGCAGGAAGUGAAGUCUCUAACAUCUUUGAGCUCUGAUUGGUCCUGUCAAGUAUCAAUAACGACUUUAAAAACAUUCCUUAAAUCAAAGUAGCAUAGAAAGACAAUAUUCAGAGAAUCUUAAGCUGAGACAUGCUGCAUUUUUCCCUGAUUGCGCAAAUGUAGAGAGGUGGUUUAAAACAUAUUACCCCGAUGAGUUUGCCCCUCUCACUCCUGAUAAAUUAGGACCUCUAAUCUGUAAGAGGAUUAACCACCUACCCUGUUUACACAUGCACACAACCACACCCCCCACUGUUACGCACACGGCCAUUCAGUGUUCACUUUACGUCACCUACUCCAGCAUGACCCAACCCAGCUGCUCUGCCUGUGACACAGUUUGGCCUCGAACAGUCUGCCCUGCCUAAAACACAGGGCUUGUCUCACUUCUGUAAACCAAACGGAUGCUUUAUUUUAUAUCAUCUUAAAUCAGAAAGCAGGAACAGAUGCAAUAAAAAAGUUGACGAAUCAGUUAUGCUAAAGAUGGACAGUGCACGCAGUUUGAUACAGUGGCUCUCGAUGAAACCAACAGCUGCUUAAUUCAUUUAUGUUUUGGUUUUAAAAAGGGGCCGAUGCGCCUUUAACAAGCAGUAGAUGUCAGGUGACUCGGCAGGAUGAAAAAAUAAAAAAGCUUCGAUGCAGAAAGCAGCCUCUGCUCACACAAUAGUCGGCAAAAAGAGCUUGUAGUAAAAAGAGCAAGGGAGAGGUAGAUAGAGAGUUCACAAAUAGCUGCGUUACAUGGGAGGGGUCAGAAUAGCAAAAACAAGGAGAGGACGGAUGAAAGCGGUGUUGCGGCCUUCGCACUACACUGUCUGCCUGAGUUAUUCUGGAAGCUGACACUGUAUUCUUGUAAUCACUGGGAGCGCUUGUCGAAAUCGAGGAUAUUUUAAUCUUUUGUCUGGGUCAAAGUACACGGCCGUAACACAAUGAUGGCCAUUAUGCACUGAUUCGAUUAUCAAUAUCGGAAAUAUAACUCAUCAGCACAACUGCUGUUUUUUUUAAGAAGCCAAAACACUAAAGUAGCAGUGGAGAGGAUUAGGGAGUGACAGACAGGGAAACUGUCCCCGAAAGACACAUGAAGGUUUUGGAUUAGUUGCUACGUCACCUUUUCCCAUCAACAGGACAACAGCGUCUGAGACACUGACAAGGCAGAUAACGCCGGUCUUUUAAUGCCAGACCUACAAAUAGAACCCAGUGAGUUUUCCACGAUAAUUGUCUCGGUAUUGUGCUGUCAUUUCAAAAGAAAAAGGGAACAGUAGCACUGACAGGAGACGUCUCAAAUGAGCUCUCUAUCGAUACACUGCACCGCAUGCCUUUUAGCAACGGCCAACGGGGGUUUGUACUAAUGAAUGCGUACCUAUUUCAGAGGCCUGGUUUUUGCCAUCUUGCACCACAGUCUACCCCACUUGGACCAGGAGCCGGACUGGAUGCCUGAGGCCGACCCAGGAGAGGACACAGUAUCCUAUUGUGCAGUACAAAGAAGUCUGCAGGGAGCUGCGGAGAUCUAUUUUUCCACAGUAUGAUUCAUAGAGUUUUUGUUGGGGUUCAUCUCUGGUGCCAGCCGGCUGCCGUGCCCUUUCUUACACUCAGAUCUUCGUCAUCUGAUGCACUUAUAAUGCUAGGAAUUGAGCUGCAGUGUCACUCUUAGAGGAACUGGCCAUGACUCAGUGGUUCUUCCCUGUGGUCACGGUGCCAGCAAAGCAUCUGCAUCUUACUGAGUUUCUGGUUGCACUUCGCUCUCUGCGGAGAGAGCCAAAAUACAGCUUAAAUAUUUGGAAAUAUCUCAAAUUGAUCAACCCAUAGACCAAACUAUGCUGCAUUCAUAGUCAGUAAAAUGUUUGUGCAAAUAUUUCACCUCAGCAUGUGCGACCAAACAGGUGGGUAUUCUGUUUCCAUUUAAAUAACCCAAAGUCGAGAUGAUAGUGAUAAAACCUUCUUUUUUCCAUCUCAACAGCAGGGCAGCAUUUCAAAUAAACUGCAGAGGUUUACAUGGGCAAAAAGAAGAUUGCAGUGCAUGUCUAAGAAAUCAGACAUCCCUAUCAAAUAACCACGAGAAGAACAAAUCUGUGCCCUAAGGAGCUGGAAUUUUAUUACCUCCGUAAAUGCAGCCAGAGCAAAAACAAAUCGGUUAUUUAACUAACUGCCUGCGUAGCAAUGUUUUCCGUCUUGGUCCAUUUGUCCAGAGUGUGCUAUUACCAUCCCGUGUCCAUGUCUGUUUAUCUUUAUUGAAAUAAUAUUCUUGCAGAUGGCCAAUCUAUAAAGAAAGUAUCCUCUAAAACACGUCCAUCCUUACAAGCAAAGCAGUGAGUAUAUUAAAGAGUUCGGAAAGGAGCAUCUGUCUAAUGGAGAAUUAAAUUAGUAUGAAUUUAAUGCUAUUCCCUCACACAUGGAUGUACCACUGUGUGCCCAGUAAUAAGAUGAGCCACUUUAAUUAAUGGUAUUACAGUAAUUUAGGUGGCAAAAUGUGUUCAACAUGUUGACUGAUUUCAUUGUCUUAAUCUGAUAGCGAAAGCGAGCGUGGCAGAGAUCCAUGUCUGACUGUGCGUCUUAGCUCACAUAAUGCAAAUCAGUUAUUAAAAAUGUGUUUAGAAGUGAUGACAGUAAUGUUUUUUUGUUCUAAUUACAGAAGGGGGACUUGGCAUCCGAAUGUGGGUUUUAUUAAAGGCAUCCUCCCCAGGGAACUGGUUUCAGAUGGUGUCUUAGAGUAUAAAAUCCCAUCUAGCACCAUUUGAAAUCGGUGUUCUUGAGCGGGAACAGACUUCAGGCAUGACGACAGUGACAUUUCAAUUCGGAGGCAGUUUUUGCAUCCAAUUUUUUACCAUCUAUUCCAGAUUUCAGUCGAGUUAAUCAGUUAAUACAUGUGCCUAUUGGUUUUCUGGAUCAGAUCUCGAUACGGCUCACGCUCCAGUGACGAAGAGAAAAGACAGCCUUGGAUAAUUGCAGUCUUCUUACCAGCUGCAUGGCCACCCUCUUAACCAAGGCUGACCGUUUUCGUCUGGUGUUCAGAGUUUCCAUCAUGUCUAGCACCAUUUGAAAUCGGUUACAAUGUGGAGGGACUAUCAACAAAGCUCUUGCUCCCGCAGCUGCAUAAAGAGUUCCCCAAAAGGUCCACAAGAUGGCAGCAUUGCACUGCCAUCCAUGCUAUUAUUCAACAGUAUCAAGUCUUUUUUGUGGUCUUCAGAAUCACUGAAGCAGUGAAGGUUUUUCUGGAUGACCCUGCUCAGGUUCGUGACCUGUUCCUUUGAGUUCUUUUUUGUUGGUCUGUUUGCUCUUUUUCAGAGUCCAGUUUCUUCUGUAAAUCAUGUUGCCGUCACUCAGCCGUGCUGUGUUCAAGUUCCAGCCACGGAUAUCUUAUCCUGUUCGUUUUCUCCAGGGACAGAUGAUAAACAGAGAUUAUCAGGUUAAAUGCUUCAGUAGUUCGAAAGGUUGUGUGUCUGCCCACUGCAGAGCUGUUAAAUUAUGUGAGUUUUUUCUUAUAUUUAAAUAUAAAAAUAGUCCACAUUUUUCUGUAAAAUGAACAUACUGUUAUUUCCAUUAAUAAAGCAAAACUGGUUCAAUUAAAAGUUGCAUUGUUUUUUUGCAAAGUCUCAUUAUAGGAAGCAGUUCAGACCUGACCCUGAUUCUGUAAUUAUAUUAUUUUAAUAAAACUGUGAAAAAAUUA